UGCCUAUACACACCCAUAGCCUACAACAGCCGCUGCCCUUGGACGACUUUCUAUCGUGUCUGCCUCAUUCCCUUUCUCGCCGGCCAGCUGCCGGACUUGACAACCGGCGAGUUUGGUCGUCCACCACACCCCUUUCUUGAACCCUAGACCCUAGGAAACAAAACCAGCGACAUACCUGAGCAGUGAAACCCACCCCUGUUUUCCAACGUCUUCACCAGUCCCAUCCCCAAGAGUCAUACACACACAACCACACCUCCGAGAGCAAGAAUCAGAAAAAUAUUCACCAUAAAGUAUCCAGAUUUCGGCCAUUCCAAGAUCGCUUAUCUGAACGUUGGUUUUGUUAUAUAAAAGUAUUCCAUCUCAAGAGCCAUAUGAACACAACAAUUAUACUAUUUUGAAGCUAAUGAACGCUCAUUUCAACAAUAUGAGUUAUCUAAAAUUCAAGUUUUUUUGGAAGUUAGUUCAAUAAGAAAAUCUGGACCGAAAAGAAUUAAACAAAAAUGAAGGUUGUUUCAUUUGGUUUUGGUUUCCGGAUGGAGUGAAGGUGAAACGGGUUUUUGAUCGUGGGAUUUGCUGUUCGAGGUUGCCGAAGGUCGUUGUCCGAGGUCCCUGUUCAGUCGUCCGUCCAAGAUUUUGGUCUUAGAUAUUUUCAGGUUCAAAUUAGCUUUUGAGGUCCAUUUCUUACCUUGAAUUUUAAAAUUUUUUUUCUGUGUUUUGUUUCUUUGAUAACUAUGGCUGCCAUAUGAUGGUUUAUGCCUAGUUUGAUUUGUUGUGCCUAGUUUGAAUUCGGUGUUUUAUUUGGAAUGGGAACGAAUUAGUUAGCUGAUUUUGAUUUGGAUAUUACGGAAAUAUACGCGUGCUAUGAUUUGGUAUUCUUAUACGUUCUCACAGUAGGCUCAAUUCAGAAUUAAGUGGUAGCUAUCGUGAAUAUGAAGUGAUCCAAUAGUGAAAAAUUGUUGCUUGAUUUGAGACUUAGUAAUUCAGCCGGUAAACCAUUUGACCCCAUGUGUUAGUAAUUAUAGUGCACCUUAUUCUACUCUAUGAUUCCUUGGUAUGGUUACGAUAUAUAAAUCUCAAUCCGGGUGUGCAUUUCAUGUGACCCGACCAUAAAUAAUAAUAAUAAAAAAUAAAUAUGUUGCAAACUUGGGUGUGCAUUUAUGUGACCCAAAUCCAACUCUCAACAAUGUUAGAUAAAAUAUGUCGGAGACCGUGGGUGCAUUUAUGUGACGUGGUUCAAGACGUGUUUUAAAUAAUAUUGAAAUCUUCCUAAAAAAUAACUAAAUAAAAGCGGUUAUAAAGUUAAAAUUGCACCAUGGGCUGAAACAUGUACUAAAAUCAAGUAAAUAGGCCAAUAUAAUAGUUGAGCGACCGUGCUAGUACCACGAAACUCGGGAAUGCCUAACACCUUCUCCCGGGUUAAAAAAAUUCCUUACUCGGAUUUCUGGUUCGCGGAAUGUUAAAUAGAGUCAAUCUUUUCCUCGAUUUGAGAUUUGAACCGGUGACUUGGGACACCAUAAAAUUAUCCCAAGUGUCAACUCUGAAUUUUUAAUAAAAUAAUUCCGUUUCGAUUGUCACUUAAAUUGGAAAAAACUCCUUUAUACCCUCUCUUCCGGGGGUGCAGGAAAAAGGAGGUGUAACACUUGUAUCUUCUCAUUAAUCCAUCAUGUCCCGCUAUUUUGGAUCGUCACGCUUAGAUCGUGACAUUGGUAAUGGCGGAAUUGCCUAGUAUUGAGUGGAGAGGUUCUCUAGACUAUAUUCCCAGUAGAGUGAUUCAUAUUUGAAGGCCCAACGGAUGGUUGGGAAGGGAUGACUGACAUAUUUGGCCUUUGUGAGGGAUGUUGUUAUUCAUACUCAUACUAUUAAGUCUGUUACGAUAAAGAGAGACAUUCCGGAUAUAUUUCAUCCGGACCUGCCAAGCAUUCCACCCGACAGGGACAUUGAUUUUGGUAUUGACUUGGUGCCGGGCACUCAACCCAUCUCUAUUCCUCUGUAUCGUAUGGCACUAACAGAGUUGAAAGAAUUGAAAGAACAACUUCAGGAACUACUUGAUAAAGGUUUCAUCAGGCCUACUAUGCCACCUUUGGGUGCACCGGUUCUUUUUAUAAAGAAGGAUAAUACUAUGAAGAUGUGCAUUGGUAACAUACAGCUGAACAAAGUUAUAAUAGAACAGGUAUCCUUUACGAUUAAUUGAUGACUUAUUUGACCAGCUUUAGGGUGCUAGAGUGUUCUCUAAGAUUAAUUUGAGAUUAGGGUAUCAUCAGCUAAAGAUUUGAGAUUCUAAUAUUCUAUAAACUUCAUUCAAGACCCGCUACGGUCACUACGAGUUUCUUGUGAUGUCUUUUAGGCUGACUAAUGACCCAACAAUAUUUAUGUAUUUGAUGAACAUUGUAUUCCAUCCAUAUCCUGACUCUUUUGUCAUAGUAUUCAUUGAUGAUAAGCAGCAUCUUAGGAUUGUAGUCCAGACUUUGAGGGAGAAGAAGCUUUAUGCUAAAUUCUCCAAGUGUAAAUUUUUGCUUGAUUUUGUGGCGUUCUUGGGGCACGUGUUGUUCAGUGAGGGGAUCAUGGUGGAUCCGAAGAAGAUUGAGGCAAUUCAGAGUUGGCCCAGACCGUUUCUAGCUACUAAGAUUCGAACUUUUCUUGGUUUGUCCAUUUAUAUUAUCACCGUUUUGUGGUGGGGUUUUCGUCCAUUGCUGCACAUUUGACCAGAUUCACCCAGAAGGGUUCCCUAUUUAGGUGGUCUGAUGAGUGUGAAGAGAGCUUUUAGAAGCUCAACACUGCCUUGACCACAGCUCCACUUCUAGUAUUGCCUUCAUCUUUGGGAUCAUAUACUAUUUAUUAUGAUGCUUCUUAGAUUGGUAUUGGGUGUCGUUCAUGACCUCGAGUUGGCAGCUAUUGUUCAUGCUUUGAAGAUUUUGAGGCAUUAUCUCUACGACGUGUCUUAUGAGAUAUUUACAGAUCAUCGAAGUCUACAAUACUUGUAUAAGAAAAAAGAUCUAAAUUUUAGAUAGUGGAGGUGAUUGGAGCUAUUAAAAGAUAAUGAUAUCACUAUUUUGUAUCAUAUGGGGAAGGCCAAUAUGGUGUCUAAUUCCCUGAGUAGAAAGGCAGAGAGUGUGGGUAGCCUUGCAUAUAUUCCAGUCCGUGAGAGACCGUUAGCAUUGGGUGUUCACGGUUUGUCCAAUUAGUUCGUGAUGUUAGAUGUUUUGGAGCCUAAUUAGAGAGCGUCAACAUGAGGACCCCUAUUUUCUUGUCCUUAAGGACACAGUGCACCAUAGUGAUGCCAAUGAGGUUUCUAUUGGAUAUGAUAGGGUGUUGCGUAUGUAAGGUCGGAUUUGUGUGCCCAAUAUGGAUGGGUAACGUGUGUUGACUCUUGAGGAGACCCACAGUUUGUGGUAUUCCAUUCAUCCGGAUGUUGCAAAAUUGUAUCAGGACUUGAGGCAAUAUUAUUUGUGGAGGACACUGAAGAAAGAUAUAGUGGAGUAUAUGGCUUGAUGCUUAAACUAUCAACAUGUGAAGUACGAGCAUCAGAGGCCAGGUAGUUUGCUUCAGAGACUUGAGAUUCCUGAUUGAAAAUGGGAGCAUAUUACCAUGGACUUCGUUGUUGGGCUCCCAUGGACAUGGAAGAAAUUCGAUGUUGUUUGAGUGAUUGUAGACCGAUUGACUAUGUCAGCGUAUUUAAUUCUAGUUGUGAUCACCUAUUCUUCAGAGCGGCUGGCUCAGAUCUAUAUCUGCGAGAUUGUUACCCUUCAUAGCAAUCCAUUGUCCAUCAUUUCUGUUCGAGGAACGCAUUUCACAUCAUAGUUUUGGAGAGCAGUGCAUCGAGAUUUGGGCACACGGGUUGAGUUUACAAUAUUCCACCCCUAGACGGAUGGACAGAUCAAGCGCACCAUUUAGAUUUUGGAGGAUAUGUUAUGCUCUUGUGUUAUGGUUUUCGAGGGUUCUUGGGAUUAGUUUCUACCACAUGUAGAGUUUUCCUAUAACAAUAGCUACUAAUCGAGUAUUCAGAUGGCUCCUUAUGAGGACUUAUAAGGGAGUCGGUGUCGUUCCCCUAUUGGUUGGUUUGGUCCGGAAGAGGCUAGGUGGUUAGGUACCGAUUUGGUUCAGGAUGCCUUAGAGAAAGUCAAGUUGAUUCAAGACCGGCUUCGUAUAGCACAGUCUAGACAUAAGGGCUACGCUGAUCGAAAAGUUCAUGAUAUUGCCUAUAUGGCGAGAGAGAAGGUAUUGCUCAGAGUUUCACACAUGAAGGGUGUAAUGAGGUUCAUGAAGAAAGGAAAAUUGAGCCCUCGGUAUAUCGGCACUUUUGAGGUUCUUGAUAGGAUUAGAGAGGGUGCCUACAAGCUUACAUUGCCACCUACUCAAUCGGGUGUUCACCCAGUGUUUCAUGUUUCUAUGCUCCAGGAGCAUUAUGGUGAUCUGUUUCAUGUUUUAGACUUCAACACAAUGCAAUUAGAUGGAAACUUGACUUAUGAUGUGGAGCCGACGACCAUUUUGGAUCGACAUGUUUGAAAUUUAAGAUUAAAGGAUAUAGCUUUAGUGAAGGUUUAGUAGAGAGGCUAGCAAGUCGAUGAGGCUACUUGACAGACCAAGCAGGAAAUGUAGAGUAGAUAUCCACAACUAUUUGAGAUUCCAUUUAUGAUUCUAGAACUGUUCGAGGAUGAACAUUUGUUUAAGAGGGGAGAAUGUGACGACCCGGCCGGUCAUCUUAUGUAUUGUAUCCCUGUUCCCUAGUUUGUUGCUUAUUCUAUGUUCACUUGUGGUUACAUAACUUGCUAGGUGGUUGGUUUAGUUUCGGAGUUGUUUCGGAGUGAAUUGGGACACUUAGUCCCAAAGUUGGAAGCUUAAGUUAACAAAUCUUCGAGCAUCGUUUUCCUCAGCUCGAUCGCGGCCCAUAAGCUCACGAUCGCGAGGUAUGAAUUGUGUUUUUUUCUCUUCACAGACACCCUUAGGUUUAAUGGCCAUAAUGUUUCUUACAAAAUUCCAAAUUAUAAACGGUUUGAUUUUCUGAAAACUUGAUCCAAAGGGCUACAACUUUUAUUUAUGGAUCAUUAUAGAUUGCAAGAUAUAAGCUCUCAAAGUCAAACCAUUGAUAGCAGGAAUUCCUUCUUCGUGAUUAACAUGCCAAGAUUGUUAUCUUGGUGAUGCCAGAGUUUCCUAUAUUGGAGUGGAGGGUUUCAUCUUACAGUACAUCUAGCCAGAUUAUCUCUUUCUUGAAGGCUUGACAUAUGGUCGAAAAGGGUUAUUUGGGCUAUUUGGCUUAUGUUCGGAAUACCGCUGUAGAGACUCCCACAAUUGAUUUAGUGUUUGUGGUGCGGGAGUUCUCCGAUGUACUUAUCUACCAGGCAUGCCACCAGAUCGUGAUAUCGAUUUCUGUAUUGAUUUGGCACCAAGCACCUAUCCUAUCUCUAUUCCACCAUACCCGAUGGCUCCAAAGUAGUUGAGGGAGUUGAAGGAAUAGCUUGAGGAAUUGCUUGCGAAGGGGUUCAUCAGGAUGAAUGUGUCGCCUUGGGGUGCACCUGUAUUUUCUGUUAAGAAGAAGGAUGAGAGUAUGUGGAUGUGCAUGAUUACCUCCAGUUUAACAAAGUAACCAUUAAGAACAAGUACCCAUUUUCGUGCAUUAAUGAUUUGUUUGACCAGUUACAGGGUGACAGGGUGUUCUCUAAGAUCAACUUGAGGUCUGGGUAUCAUCAGUUGAUGAUUCGUGCUUCAAAUGUUCCAAAGACGCAUUUCUGGACUAGAUAUGGGCACUAUGAGUUUCUAGCGAUGUCCUUCGGCUGGACAAACUCCCCGGUGGCGUUCAUGGAUUUGAUGAACCGGGUGUUCAAUCCAUAUCUUGACUCAUUUAUCAUUUUCUUCAUUGAUGACAUACUGAUCUACUCGUGUAGUAUGUAAGAUCAUGAGCAACAUUUGAGAGUUGUGCUUUAGACCUUGCGAGAACAGAAGCUAUAUGCUAAAUUCUCCAAGUGCGAGUUCUAGUGAGAUUUUGUGGCAUUCUUGGGUCAUGUUGUAUCAGAUGAGGGUAUUAAGGUAGAUCCCAGGAAGAUUGAGGCAAUUUAGAGUUGGCCUUGUCCAACCACAGUGACCGAGAUUAGGAGUUUCUUAAGGUUAGCAGGUUAUUAUUGCCAGUUUAUAGAGGGCUUCUCAUCUAUUACAACACCUUUGUGUUGAUACCCAAUUUUCUCUGUAUAUUUUAUAUAUGCAAAAUACUUUCAAAAUAUCAUAUGUAUGCAUAUAUAGGUAUAUCCAAACGUUUCAGUAUUUUUCCUAAUUUUAAAAAGAUUUUUAAAUCGAUUUAUUGCCCUAUUUUAGCAAUACAAAAACUAAUAAUUAUUCCCAAAAUCAUCAUUUGGUGAAUAACUUAUUUUAUUCUCACAUUUAUACCAAAAUAUAGCUAAGGUAAAGUUUUUGCACAUUUUUGUAAAUUUAUUUAGUAUUUUAAAAGUUAAAUUGCAUUUAAUUGCAAUUUUAGCCUAUUUUAAGAUUUAACUAUGCGUAUAAUUAUAAAAUUGGUUCCAGUAUUUUUAAUAUAAUAUCUAUAUAUUAUUAAUUAAUUUAGUACCUUUAAUUUAUUUUCAGAAAUCAUGUUACUAUUUUUUAUAAAAUAAAAAGGAAAAAACUGGCUAUUUAAAAUAUAGCCCCAUUUUGUUUCAAUUAUAGCCCAAAUUGAUCCCCCAAAUAACCAAAUUUCAAAUCCCAAAUUACCCAUCCCAAUUUAAAUUUAACCCGACCCCUGACCCGCUUAUCCGAUCUGCCCGACCCUCUCUUUAAUCCAGGCCGUUGAUCAUUUUGAUCAACGAUCACGAUCAUUUCUUACCUUUUUAAUUCCCCAAUGACUACCCUAAUCCCUUCAUUCUCUUCUAUCAGCCGCCUCUGAAAUCCCUCUCCUCUCAAACUCUCUCGAAACCCUAGCCUCUCUAACUGUCUUCUACCUCAAGCUCACCGGAAUCUAUAGCCUCUCAAGCCAUGGAUGGCCUAAACUCAUCUCCCUCUACUCUCAAACACUUGGUAUUCGAAGGUCCCAGGUCUGGCCUCAAAGGUGUCCGUUCAGAUCUCUAUAGAUCCAAGGUUCUAUGGCCCUUGCUGGUAUUGCUCCGGCGUAUAAUGAUGUUUUGAGCAUGGUUCUAACCUCUCCGACUCAGAUCGAACCUUUUCAAAGCCUUUCUCGUUUUAGGGUUCCUCUGAAACCCUAAGCUAUUCGAGAUUUUCUCUGAUUUUUCUUAGAUCUGUGCUCUACUUGAGUUUUUAAACGUUUUCCCUAAUUUUUCUUUCAAGAGAAUUACUUCUUUCCGAUUUAAGGUUUCUGAAAAAGCUUAAAAUGGUUCUCCGACUCUUCUUUUCCUUUCUUUGUGUGUAUUUGUUACGCAUGUGCUUCUACUGCUUUCUUAAGCUAUACAUGUUCUUCUGUGCUUUGUUGUUAUAACCCAAAUUUUUAUAUAUACGGAUUAACUUAAGAGUUUUAAAAUUUAUUUAAAUGGUUAGCGAACCUAAUUAACUAUUACACAUAUUAAAUUGGAUAAUAAAAUAACUCAGACAAAAUAAAAAUAAAAAUUAAAUAAAUGGGCUGAACUUCACGUAUUUUUCUUAUUAGCCUAUGUACAAAUACCUAAAGUAUAGGAAAAGGAGUUGUUUAGGUCUUACUUAAAAAUUAAAACAAAACAAGGAAUUAGAACAAAGAGAAGCAGAACUCGAAAGCAGCGAAGAAGAAAACCUGGGAAUUAGAAUCAGGUAAUUUGCAUAUAAUUUAGUUUGUAAUGAUUAUAUCAAUCAUUGGGAGACAAUAAUUAAUAAGUACAGAACUAAAUAUGAGAUAUGGAAUUGGAAAUUUGAACGAAGUCUCCAUCACAGUCUUUUGAAAAUCUGUUUGUAAAAUAAUCUGAAACUAUUAUAUGAAUACUAUAUUUAACAAGGAAACGUAGAAGGUAUAACAUUCAAUGAUUAAAGGUAAUUAUGUGAUAACGAUUAGAUUAAAAUGUUAGAUGAUAUUUUUGGCACAAGGCACAAUGGCAGUGUUUCGGCUAUUUGAUUGACAUGUAACUGUGUACUUGUUAUUAUUAAUUGGACCAAGAAUUGAUCUUGAGUUUGGCUAAGAUUAUGAAAUUUUUCUCUAGCCUAAUUAGGACAUGUUAUUCAAUAUUUUUAAUAGCUUUUAGAAACGAAUUUUGAGGAUUUGAAAGGCCAUUUGAACUCCGUUUUUGGUAAACUUUAUAUGUACGGACUCGUGGCGAGGCGAGGAAUCCGAUGAUGUGAUUUUCAGAAUUUUUCGAGAAGUGGGCCUGGGGCUCGGGUUAUACCAACUUCGCGAUUUUCAGUGUUUUUCGAGUAAUUUCAAUUGGGUUAUGUUUAUUUAGCAUAUAGUGACGUAUUCGUUGUGGUUUCGACUAGAUUCGAUGCACGUAGACGGAAAUUCAAAGGGAAAGGGCAUUGCAGACCAGUCUACUACCGGUUAGAGGUGAGUAAUUUGUAUAGACGAUGGCCUGAGGGUUUGAAACCCCGGUUUAUCACAUCGUGACGCUAUGUUAGGGCGUGACUCGCACCCCAUGGCAGGUGCAGGAUCGUAUAUGAUUGGGGAUUGUGACUUGAUCCAUCCCGAGAGCUAAAUAUAAUUAUUGGCGGCUGAUACGCACAUUGUAUUGUUGAUAAUUGGGUUUAUUGCCAUAUUUGAGGCCUUGUGCCGACCUGUAGAGUCCGUCUAGGAUGAAUAUCUUUGUGAUAGCAUGAUUUACAUAAUUAUUGAUCUCAGUCCUGUGUUUAAUCACUGUUAUUAAAUGCUAAGUCACCUUUUUCCUGAAAUUAAUUAACUAAAUUAUAUUCACCUUAAUAAUUGGAAACUGAGAAAAAAUUAGAUUGAAUCUGUUAUGUGACUCAUAUGCAUACUGUGGACUGAGUAUGGGUCGGGCUAUACGCCGCAGCAGUGAUAUAAUGAUAUUAUGCUUGGGCUGAAGGAGCCUCUUCGGAGUCUGUACACACCCCCAGUGAGCGCCGUCGACGUUAAACGGAUCGGGCUGUAUGCCGCAGCGGAUUCAUGUGCACUACAUUGCAUCUUUACCUGAUACUUGACUGCUAUAUUUGAUAUUGCUUUUGCUGUUAGUUCGUAGUUAAGGUAUAAGACUGUUAGGUUUAGCUUUGCUUUGUGGCAUUUCGUGGAUUUCCUACCUUCAGACAUUAUAUAUGCUUAUUACUCACUGAGUCGGUAGUACUCACCCCUACUCCCUGCACCAUGUGUGCAAAUUCAAGUACACCGGAGGCUUAGCUGAGCACUCGUAGUCUCCAGCUAUUUUCAGAGUCGUUGAGGUAGCUGCUUGACGUUCGCAGGACCUGGCUACUCUUUAUAUUUCAUUCAGAUAUUAUUAUCCAGUUUUGUUUAGAGGCUCUAGACUCGUGACCCAGAUCUUUGGGGAGUGAUUAUUCAGAUUUCAUAUUAUCUUCGUAAUUAUUCUAUUAAUAUUAUUGGAUUAUUAUUAUUCAGAAAUUAUUACAUUUUUCCUUAAAUUGUCGGUUUGAGAUUUAUUAUCGAAUUGAGAGCUAGUGAUGGUCAGGCUUGCCUAGCUUUAGUGUUGGGCGCCAUCACGAUCGGGUUUGGGUCGUGACAAGUUGGUAUCAGAGCCUAGGUUACUAGGCCUCGCGAGUCUUGAGCCGGUUUAGUAGAGUCUCGCGGAUCGGUACGUAGACGUCCGUAUCUAUCCUCGGGAGGCUACAGAACUUUUAGGAAACACCUCACUUUCUUGAAAUUCAUAUCGUGCGGCUUGUCGCUAUGAAAACUAAAAAUUUCUUUAUUCUAUUCUUUCGCAGAUGGCGAGAACCCGUGCUAACGGACUAGGAGGACGACCACCAGUACCACUUGCUAGAGGCCGUGGACGCGGCCGUGGUGCUGGACGAGGCGGACAAGCAGAGGCAGCACCUGCAGACCCACCAGCUGCCUAG
This 9915-nucleotide long non-coding RNA is filed under the name Nicotiana tabacum (common tobacco). RNAcentral describes it as "long non-coding RNA (NTAB_LNC007993)". The record is from RNAcentral. Lineage: Eukaryota; Viridiplantae; Streptophyta; Magnoliopsida; Solanales; Solanaceae.